Pterocles gutturalis (yellow-throated sandgrouse) is the source of this 72-nucleotide non-coding RNA. Lineage: Eukaryota; Metazoa; Chordata; Aves; Pterocliformes; Pteroclidae. The record is from Rfam.
GGGGAUGUAGCUCAGCGGGAGAGCACUUGCUUUGCAUGUAAGAGGCCCUGGGUUCAACCCCCAGCAUCUCCA